Portunus trituberculatus (swimming crab) is the source of this 226-nucleotide long non-coding RNA. RefSeq lists it as uncharacterized. Lineage: Eukaryota; Metazoa; Arthropoda; Malacostraca; Decapoda; Portunidae. The transcript has 3 exons. The record is from RefSeq and is a predicted model, not a curated record.
AGGCACAGCGGAGAGACAAUGGGACGUCGCGCAUGUAGGAGAGUGCGCCGGACUGGAGACAGCACUUGGCAGGUGGAUGUGUAUGUGCCACGCCGGACACCUGCACUAACUAGGAGGUGUGUGUGUUCCUCGUGCAGACGCCACGACCAUCAUGUGCCGCGACCUUCAUCUGUGGAGGAAUGUUUGGAAGUAACUAUUACGCGGUGUAUUAAAAAGAGGGAAGCAG